This 516-nucleotide ribosomal RNA is filed under the name Triticum aestivum (bread wheat). RNAcentral describes it as "partial small subunit ribosomal RNA". Lineage: Eukaryota; Viridiplantae; Streptophyta; Magnoliopsida; Poales; Poaceae. The record is from RNAcentral.
AUGGCAAAGUGCCAGAUUCUAGUAGUGUAUGUCCUAGAAGGACCGCUAGGUGAAGCACCCAUCCCAGAGAACCAAGACGUUAUGAAUGCUUGGCAGUCACGUGCUGAUGAUUACUCCCUCGUUGAGUGCGGCAUACUUUACAGCUUAGAACCAGGGCUCCAAAAGCGUUUUGAGCAACACGGAGCAUAUGAGAUGUUCGAGGAGCUGAAAAUGGUUUUCCCAGCUCAUGCCCGGGUCGAGAGAUAUGAAGUCUCCGACAAGUUCUAUAGUUGUAAUAUGGAGGAAAAUAGUUCUGUGAGUGAGCACAUACUCAAAAUGUCUGGGUUGCACAACCGCCUGUCCCAGCUGGACAUUAACCUCCCGGACGAGGCGGUCAUUGACAGAAUCCUUCAGUCGCUCCCACCGAGCUACAAGAGCUUUGUGAUGAACUACAAUAUGCAGGGGAUGGAGAAAACCAUUCCUGAAGUAUUUUCAAUGCUGAAGUCGGCAUGGGUAGAGAUCAAGAAAGAACAUUAA